Molecule: non-coding RNA, 109 nt
Filed under: Clostridiaceae bacterium
Lineage: Bacteria; Bacillati; Bacillota; Clostridia; Eubacteriales; Clostridiaceae
Description: SAM-I sequence
Rfam family: SAM riboswitch aptamer (S box leader)
About the family: The SAM riboswitch is found upstream of a number of genes which code for proteins involved in methionine or cysteine biosynthesis in Gram-positive bacteria.
Source: RNAcentral
CCAUUAUCAAGAGCGGUGGAGGGACUGGCCCUAUGAAGCCCGGCAACAGCUAGUUGGAAAACUAGAAAUGUGCUAAAUCCUGCAGGAAGAAAUUCCUGAGAGAUAAGAG